Molecule: ribosomal RNA, 492 nt
Filed under: uncultured bacterium
Lineage: Bacteria
Description: bacterial SSU rRNA
Rfam family: Bacterial small subunit ribosomal RNA
Source: RNAcentral
AUUGAACGCUGGCGGCAUGCCUUACACAUGCAAGUCGAACGGCAGCACGGGAGCAAUCCUGGUGGCGAGUGGCGAACGGGUGAGUAAUAUAUCGGAACGUGCCCAGUCGUGGGGGAUAACUACUCGAAAGAGUGGCUAAUACCGCAUACGAUCUACGGAUGAAAGCGGGGGACCUUAGGGCCUCGCGCGAUUGGAGCGGCCGAUAUCAGAUUAGGUAGUUGGUAGGGUAAAGGCUCACCAAGCCAACGAUCUGUAGCUGGUCUGAGAGGACGACCAGCCACACUGGAACUGAGACACGGUCCAGACUCCUACGGGAGGCAGCAGUGGGGAAUUUUGGACAAUGGACGCAAGUCUGAUCCAGCCAUUCCGCGUGCAGGAUGAAGGCCCUCGGGUUGUAAACUGCUUUUGUACGGAACGAAAAGGUCUCUCCUAAUACGAGGGGCUCAUGACGGUACCGUAAGAUAAGCACCGGCUAACUACGUGCCAGCAGCC